RNAcentral lists this small RNA (49 nucleotides) under Arabidopsis thaliana (thale cress). Its description in RNAcentral is "ATSL189520". Lineage: Eukaryota; Viridiplantae; Streptophyta; Magnoliopsida; Brassicales; Brassicaceae. The record is from RNAcentral.
CAUGUUGAGCUGUAUUAGAAGACCCUUAACAGGCCUCCAUACUAGUCUU